CAAUAGCGUAUAUUAAAGCUGUUGCGGUUAAAAAGCUCGUAGUUGGAUUUCUGUCAAGGACAACUGGUCCGCCCUCCGGGUGAGCACAUAGUUUGGUCUUGGCAUCUUGCUGGAAGCUGUUGCUGCACUUGGCUGUGUGGCGCAGCGUCCAGCACUUUCACUUUGAGGAAAUUGGAGUGUUUCAAGCAGGCACAUGCCUUUGGACACAGUAGCAUGGAAUAAUUAGAUUGGGCUUUUGCUCCAAUUUGUCGGUUUCUGGAGCUGAGGUGAGAAUUAAUGGGGAUUGUUGGGGGCAUCCGAAUGUAGCCGUCAGAGGUGAAAUUCUUGGAUCUGCUAAAGACGGACAACUGCGAAAGCGUUUGCCCAGGAUGUUUUCAUUGA
RNAcentral lists this ribosomal RNA (381 nucleotides) under uncultured eukaryote. RNAcentral describes it as "partial 18S ribosomal RNA". It matches the Rfam family "Eukaryotic small subunit ribosomal RNA", at positions 592 to 976 of the family's 1831-position model. The record is from RNAcentral.